This 497-nucleotide ribosomal RNA is filed under the name uncultured bacterium. RNAcentral describes it as "partial 16S ribosomal RNA". It matches the Rfam family "Bacterial small subunit ribosomal RNA", at positions 28 to 507 of the family's 1533-position model. The record is from RNAcentral.
GAUGAACGCUGGCGGCGUGCCUAAUACAUGCAAGUCGAGCGAACAGACGAGGAGCUUGCUCCUCUGACGUUAGCGGCGGACGGGUGAGUAACACGUGGAUAACCUACCUAUAAGACUGGGAUAACUUCGGGAAACCGGAGCUAAUACCGGAUAAUAUAUUGAACCGCAUGGUUCAAUAGUGAAAGACGGUUUUGCUGUCACUUAUAGAUGGAUCCGCGCCGCAUUAGCUAGUUGGUAAGGUAACGGCUUACCAAGGCAACGAUGCGUAGCCGACCUGAGAGGGUGAUCGGCCACACUGGAACUGGGACACGGUCCAGACUCCUACGGGAGGCAGCAGUAGGGAAUCUUCCGCAAUGGGCGAAAGCCUGACGGAGCAACGCCGCGUGAGUGAUGAAGGUCUUCGGAUCGUAAAACUCUGUUAUUAGGGAAGAACAAAUGUGUAAGUAACUAUGCCCGUCUUGACGGUACCUAAUCAGAAAGCCACGGCUAACUACGUG